UGAAUACGAGAUGCUACGGCGUCGAAGCAGUCUAUGUCAUACUUCCAAGAAAAGCUUGCACUGUCAUAAACAAAUAAUGCCUGUACCAUAACCGACACAGGUGGGUAGGUAGAGUAUACUAAGGGGCGCGAGAUAACUCUCUCUAAGGAACUCGGCAAAAUGACUCCGUAACUUCGGGAGAAGGAGUGCCUUAUUUAUAAGGUUGCAAUAACAAGAUCCAAGCAACUGUUUACCAAAAACACAGGUCUCCGCUAAGUCGUAAGACGAUGUAUGGGGGCUGACGCCUGCCCAGUGCCAGAAGGUUAAAGAAGUUGGUUAGCAUCCGCGAAGCUGAUAACUGAAGCCCUGGUGAACGGCGGCCGUAACGAUAACGGUCCUAAGGUAGCGAAAUUCCUUGUCGGGUAAGUUCCGACCCGCACGAAAGGCGUAAUGAUUUGGAUACUGUCUCGGAGAGGGGCUCGGUGAAAUAGACUUGUCUGUGAAGAUGCGGACUACCUGCACCAGGACAGAAAGACCCUAUGAAGCUUUACUGUAACCUGAAAUUGAAAUUGGACUUUACUUGCGCAGUAUAGGUGGGAGGCGUUGAGAAUAUUCUUGCGGGAUUAUUGGAGCCAUCAGUGAGAUACCACUCUUGUAAUGUUAGAUUUCUAACUUUGUAUCAUUAUCUGGUCAAAGAACAGUUUCAGGCGGGCAGUUUGACUGGGGCGGUCGCCUCCUAAACGGUAACGGAGGCGCACAAAGGUUUCCUCUGAACGGGUAGAAAUCGUAUCUAGAGUGUAAAGGCAUAAGGAAGCUUGACUGUGAGACCUACAAGUCGAGCAGGGACGAAAGUCGGUCUUAGUGAUCUGACGGUGCUGAGUGGAAAGGCCGUCACUCAACGGAUAAAAGUUACUCUAAGGAUAACAGGCUGAUCUCCCCCAAGAGUUCACAUCGACGGGGAGGUUUGGCACCUCGAUGUCGGCUCAUCGCAUCCUGGGGCGGUAGUACGUCCCAAGGGUUGGGCUGUUCGCCCAUGAAAGCGGUACGCGAGCUGGGUUCAGAACGUCGUGAGACAGUUCGGUCCAUAUCCGGUGUAGGCGUUAGAAUAUUGGGAGGAGCCUUCUUUAGUACGAGAGGACCGAGAAGGACAUACCUCUGGUGUACCAGUUAUCGUGCCAACGGUAAACGCUGGGUAGCUAUGUGUGGAGUGGAUAACCGCUGAAAGCAUCUAAGUGGGAAGCCCACCUCAAGAUAAGUAUUCUCGU
RNAcentral lists this ribosomal RNA (1244 nucleotides) under metagenome. RNAcentral's name for it is "bacterial LSU rRNA". It matches the Rfam family "Bacterial large subunit ribosomal RNA", at positions 1564 to 2817 of the family's 2925-position model. The record is from RNAcentral.